UGUAAGGGCAUGUUUGGUUCAUGGCCACACAUUGCCAUGCCUAACCUUAAGUAGUAGCCACAAGUGUGGCAAGCCAUAAACUGUGGCAAAAACAAGGUGUUUGGUUAGUGACUAAGGUUUGGCAAAAUAAAUGUGGCUGCUGUUUGGAUAGUUACCACAAAAGCAUGGCAAAAUAUUGUGGCAUGUGUUUGGUUUGCAACCACAAAUGAAUGAAAAAUACCUCAUUGCCAUAAACUGUGGCAAAAACAAGGUGUUUGGUUAGUGACUAAGGUUUGGCAAAAUAAAUGUGGCUGCUGUUUGGAUAGUUACCACAAAAGCAUGGCAAAAUAUUGUGGCAUGUGUUUGGUUUGCAACCACAAAUGAAUGAAAAAUACCUCAUUGU
Molecule: long non-coding RNA, 382 nt
Filed under: Sorghum bicolor (sorghum)
Lineage: Eukaryota; Viridiplantae; Streptophyta; Magnoliopsida; Poales; Poaceae
Description: long non-coding RNA (SBIC_LNC011791)
Source: RNAcentral